RNAcentral lists this ribosomal RNA (1476 nucleotides) under Pseudomonas citronellolis. Its description in RNAcentral is "bacterial SSU rRNA". It matches the Rfam family "Bacterial small subunit ribosomal RNA". The record is from RNAcentral. Lineage: Bacteria; Pseudomonadati; Pseudomonadota; Gammaproteobacteria; Pseudomonadales; Pseudomonadaceae.
AUUGAUACGACCGCAGGCGACAGGGGUCCCAGAUGGAAGUCGAGCGGAUGAAGGGAGCUUGCUCUCUGAUGGCGGACGGGUGAGUAAUGCCUAGGAAUCUGCCUGGGGGUGGGGGACAACGUUCCGAAAGGAGCGCUACAACCGCAUACGUCCUACGGGAGAAAGUGGGGGAUCUUCGGACCUCACGCUAUCAGAUGAGCCUAGGUCGGAUUAGCUAGUAGGUUUGGUAAUGGCUCACCUAGGCGACGAUCCGUAAAUGGUCUGAGAGGAUGAACAGUCACACUGGAACUGAGACACGGUCCAGACUCCUACGGGAGGCAGCAGUGGGGAAUAUUGGACAAUGGGCGAAAGCCUGAUCCAGAAAUGCCGCGUGUGUGAAGAAGGGCUUCGGAUUUUAAAGCACUUAAAGUUGGGAGGACACCCAGUAAGUUAAUACCUUGCUGUUUUGACGUUACCAACAGAAUAAGCACCGGCUAACUUCGUGCCAGCAGCCGCGGAAAUACGAAGGUUGCAAGCUUUAAUCGGAAUUACUGGGCGUAAGGCGCGCGUAGGUGGUUUCCGAAGAUGGAUGUGAAAUCCCCGGGCUCAACCUGGGAACUGCAUCCAUAACUGCCUGACUAGAGUACGGAAAAGGGUGGUGGAAUUUCCUGUGUAGCGGUGAAAUGCGUAGAUAUAGGAAGGAACACCAGUGGCGAAGGCAACCACCUGGACUGAUACUGACACUGAGGUGCGAAAGCGUGGGGAGCAAACAGGAUUAGAUACCCUGGUAGUCCACGCCGUAAACGAUGUCGACUAGCCGUUGGGAUCCUUGAGAUCUUAGUGGCGCAGCUAACGCGAUAAGUCGACCGCGGGGGGAGUACCCCCGCAAGGUUAAAACUCAAAUGAAUUGACGGGGGCCCGCACAAGCAAAGGAGCAUGUGGUUUAAUUCGAAGCAACGCGAAGAACCUUACCUGGCCUUGACAUGUCCGGAAUCCUGCAGAGAUCCGGGAGUGCUUUCGGGAUUCGGAACACAGGUGCUGCAUGGCUGUCCUCAGCUCGUGUCGUGCAUUAUUGGGUUGGGUCCCGUAACGAGCGCAACCCUUGUCCUUAGUUACCAGCACGUUAUGGUGGGCACGGUAGCCAGACUGCCGGUAGUAAACCGGAACAAGGUGGGGAUGACGUCAAGUCAUCAAUGCCCUUACGGCCAAAACUGCUCACGUGCUACAAUGAUCGGUACAGAGGGUUGCCAAGCCGCGAGGUGGAGCUAAUCCCAGAAAUUUGAUCGUAGUCCGGAUCGCAGUCUGCAACUCGACUGCGUGAAGUCGGAAUCGCUAGUAAUCGUGAAUCCGAGUGUCAAGGUGAAUACGUUUCCGGGCCUUGUACACACCGCCCGCAACACCAUGGGAGUGGGUUGCAACAGGGAGUAACGAUAGUCUAACAAGACAGAUCAGAUAAGGGGGACGGUUCCCACGGAGUGAUUCAUGACUGGGGUGAAG